GAUCAAGGGAGCUCUAGGGAGACAUGGACCCCUGCCCAAACCCCAUAUCUAUCUGGAGAAUCUGGCCAUCUCACCAUCUCUCCAGACUCCUGGGAUGAUAAGAAGGAUGAUUUAUCUCGACUACUCAAACACUGAAUGGGACUCUCUUGUAUUUAAGGAGAGAAGAGAGCUGAAUGUAUUUUUUUUUUUUUUUUUUUUUUUUUUUUUUUUUUUUUUCACAGUACAGUCAACAGAAUACAAAGCGAUAGAAGGAUGAUGUCAAUGACCCAGGUGGAUGGAUUCAUCCUGUUGGGUGGUGGGGAUGGAGAAUGCAAGGGAGAAGACAAAUAGACAAGUCAAGGAUGCAGCAGAAGGAAGAUGAAGGACUCUCUGAUGGUCUGUCUUUCUUGGAACAGAAAAAGUCUCCACCUGUGCUGCUCACUCCAAGAACAAGGAUGGUGGCAGGAGUUGUGUCUCAGGAAUUACUUCAUAGCAAUGCAAAAUGGACGAACACAGAAGUGAACACCCCACAUUUCUGUGGGGCCUCCUCUUCAGCAAGCUCCCUAGCAUGAUGAGAAGGCCUCCAACAGUCUGCUGGACCCAUUUCUCCAUCUUCUAUCAGCUCAAGCUCCCUUGAGAGGCUUGGAUAGGGGGCACCAGUGAACCUGUGAGGAG
This 654-nucleotide long non-coding RNA is filed under the name Rhinopithecus roxellana (golden snub-nosed monkey). RNAcentral describes it as "lncRNA (ENSRROG00000045987.1)". Lineage: Eukaryota; Metazoa; Chordata; Mammalia; Primates; Cercopithecidae. The record is from RNAcentral.